UCAAAGGCAAAGUAUGCGAAAGCAUAUGACGCAAAGCUAUGAAUCUAAAACCAUUAUGGUCAUGAUCGUCAGGCUGC
Molecule: non-coding RNA, 77 nt
Filed under: human gut metagenome
Description: Cyclic di-GMP-I riboswitch
Rfam family: c-di-GMP-I riboswitch aptamer
About the family: GEMM was predicted in a large-scale screen for bacterial structured RNA regulatory elements.
Source: RNAcentral